UAAUUUUAUUGGUAGUAUUGAUGUGUGCAUGAAAUGUAGUAUCCAUAGUAACAUCACACUAGACACUAACUUUAUAUUAGACCCUAGUAGCUUUAUUUGUGCUUGUGGUUGUAAAUGUAAAUGCAUGGAUUUCUGCUACACUGUAGAAUACAUCACAAGGAAGCUUUGCUUUGCUCUACAUGGACUACGAUCCCGUAUUAUUAAAAACCUUCCGCCAAGCAAGCGUAAGGGUCUUUGACAGUAACCAACACUCAUCU
RNAcentral lists this long non-coding RNA (257 nucleotides) under Mytilus galloprovincialis (Mediterranean mussel). The record is from RNAcentral. Lineage: Eukaryota; Metazoa; Mollusca; Bivalvia; Mytilida; Mytilidae.